CUGGGAUUCAAACCAGGAGCAAAUGCUGGAAUCUGGGUUGAUCCUGGAGUCCAAGCCUCGGCCUUGUGUUGGGACCGGCCAGCUGCACUGACAACAUUUAGGACCGGUGGUGCCCAGACUUGAGGUCUGCCCCUGCCACCAGGGAAGUAUUCUCUGACCUCACUGCACUGAGAUGUGAAGCCAGCUUUUUGGUGAUUGCUUUUAGCCUCUGGACUAUUCUCUUACUGUAG
RNAcentral lists this long non-coding RNA (230 nucleotides) under Bos indicus x Bos taurus (hybrid cattle). Its description in RNAcentral is "lncRNA (ENSBIXG00000013744.1)". The record is from RNAcentral. Lineage: Eukaryota; Metazoa; Chordata; Mammalia; Artiodactyla; Bovidae.